AGAGUUUGAUCAUGGCUCAGAUUGAACGCUGGCGGCAGGCUUAACACAUGCAAGUCGAGCGGUAGCACAGGAGAGCUUGCUCUCUGGGUGACGAGCGGCGGACGGGUGAGUAAUGUCUGGGAAACUGCCUGAUGGAGGGGGAUAACUACUGGAAACGGUAGCUAAUACCGCAUAACGUCGCAAGACCAAAGAGGGGGACCUUCGGGCCUCUUGCCAUCAGAUGUGCCCAGAUGGGAUUAGCUAGUAGGUGGGGUAAUGGCUCACCUAGGCGACGAUCCCUAGCUGGUCUGAGAGGAUGACCAGCCACACUGGAACUGAGACACGGUCCAGACUCCUACGGGAGGCAGCAGUGGGGAAUAUUGCACAAUGGGCGCAAGCCUGAUGCAGCCAUGCCGCGUGUGUGAAGAAGGCCUUCGGGUUGUAAAGCACUUUCAGCGAGGAGGAAGGUGGUGAACUUAAUACGUUCAUCAAUUGACGUUACUCGCAGAAGAAGCACCGGCUAACUCCGUGCCAGCCGCCGCGGUAAUAC
RNAcentral lists this ribosomal RNA (529 nucleotides) under uncultured bacterium. RNAcentral describes it as "bacterial SSU rRNA". It matches the Rfam family "Bacterial small subunit ribosomal RNA", at positions 8 to 526 of the family's 1533-position model. The record is from RNAcentral.